Molecule: small RNA, 155 nt
Filed under: Arabidopsis thaliana (thale cress)
Lineage: Eukaryota; Viridiplantae; Streptophyta; Magnoliopsida; Brassicales; Brassicaceae
Description: ATSL097840
Source: RNAcentral
GUUAUAAUAUUGACCAACACCCCGCUAGUUUCUGGUAAUCUAGUGUUGACCCUGAAAGAAAAAUCCAUAAGAAUACGCAUAAAUAGAUAGUAAAAUUAGGAGAUAAACAUCAUUAGAACAUGAAGUAAUUUACUUAUGAAUAUCUAUCUAUUAUU